This 312-nucleotide long non-coding RNA is filed under the name Phoenix dactylifera (date palm). RNAcentral describes it as "long non-coding RNA (PDAC_LNC018214)". Lineage: Eukaryota; Viridiplantae; Streptophyta; Magnoliopsida; Arecales; Arecaceae. The record is from RNAcentral.
UUGGCCUUGAGAAUACAAAAUAUAUGCAAGAAGCACAUCGAGAAGAAGAUGAUAUUGCACUUAUUUGAAGAUGAUUUACCAAGGCUUGGUAGAAAAUUUCAACUGAUUUUUUAGGAAGCUCGUAAAAGAGUUAAAAUAGAGGGAGGGUGAGAUGAAAUAAAGAGAAACGCAGAAGGCUAAGCAAUACGAAUUACCUGAGGAAGCUGCAGGUUUGUCAGUGGAUUUAACAGUUCUAUACAUCUGUAGAGCCAGAGAGAAAGAAAUUAAAGGCCAUUAAAUAGAUAGAGGGAUAGAAAGACAGAUAUACUUAAA